RNAcentral lists this small RNA (303 nucleotides) under Plasmodium billcollinsi. Its description in RNAcentral is "Plasmodium sp. DRC-Itaito rNase MRP". Lineage: Eukaryota; Apicomplexa; Aconoidasida; Haemosporida; Plasmodiidae. The record is from RNAcentral.
GUCAAAUUUAACGUAAUAAUGUUACUUGCAGAAAAUAUACAGAAAAUCCGUUUUUUUUUGAAAAGAUGAUUUUCAUUUCUUCUGUUAGGAAAGUCCCCGAGAUAAACAUUUAUUUAUAUAAAUGUUUUAAGAAAAGCUGAUAACUUAAUAAGUUAUUAAUCUUAUAGUUACCAUUGUAGAAAAUAUAAAAAUUUUCUCAAAGGAUAUAAAUAUUAAAAUAGCGAGUCAAAUGUAACGUGUGUUCUAUAAUAUAUUUUAUUGGACAUCACCGAAUGGGGCUUAUACGUAUGUUAAAUUUACCAU